UUUUUUGCUCCACAUAUGCAUGCUUUCUACGAUUCGGAGAUCAGUGCAGCCCAAAGAUCACAUUGGAUUCUCCUCACUACACUCCAUCUUCUAACCUAGUCUGCAUCACGGCUAGGUGCAUCCGUUGCCAAGUUCAUCCAAUAUAUGCCAACCGCAUUGCAAGGACGACCAUAUGCACACACACACCACAGUCCACAGGAGACAGAUAGCUAGCUAGCUUACUCUUUAGUCAUACAUACACUUAUAAAUAGCCACCGGCUCUGUGCUCAUCAGCAAGGCAGAUUAAACAAGUGAAGUGGUCCACAUCAAAAAUGAAGUAAUCAGGUCUAGGGAGUCAAAAUUUGGUUGGUUGUCCACUGGAGUUCUCCUCAAUCCACUUCAGUAGAUAGCUAUGGCUAGGCCUCAUUGCAUUGCACUGUUACAUAACUGUGAUCAUGGGGCCAAAAGCUAGCUAUGUAUAGUGAAGUGCUUGGGGGAACUCCAGUUGACACUCAGCAUUUUCAAGUUAGGUAUGUAAGUGCUUGUACUUUAUGAAUUUGUAAGUGACAGAGAAUGAUUAGGUUUGGAGUCCCUAGGAGUUCCUUUCAAGCACUUUACGACACACUGUAUUGAGAGUUGUCGUGAAGUGUUUGGGGGAACUCUUAGUG
This 647-nucleotide precursor RNA is filed under the name Oryza rufipogon (brownbeard rice). RNAcentral's name for it is "putative precursor microRNA R395ab". The stretch from base 566 to 647 matches the Rfam family "mir-395 microRNA precursor family". Lineage: Eukaryota; Viridiplantae; Streptophyta; Magnoliopsida; Poales; Poaceae. The record is from RNAcentral.